AUUAAGUUUAUUUCUCAGUUUUUUAGAUAUAAUAUUUUGACUCUUUAUCUUAUUUGAAUUUUUUUUGCGAUUAAAAUUUUUAUUGUUACUAGAUGGUAAAACAUGAAAAGUAUUUUAUAUGUGAAUAAUUUUUAAAAAAGUUUUUACAAAUUUUUUAAAUAAGACAAAUGGUCAAACGUUGAACACAGAAAUCGAAAAAUAAAGUUAUU
Molecule: microRNA precursor, 209 nt
Filed under: Oryza brachyantha (malo sina)
Lineage: Eukaryota; Viridiplantae; Streptophyta; Magnoliopsida; Poales; Poaceae
Description: MIR812 microRNA precursor family
Rfam family: MIR812 microRNA precursor family
Source: Rfam by way of RNAcentral